GAUUAACGCUGGCGGCGUGCCUAACACAUGCAAGUCGAACGAUGAAACUUAGUAGACUUCUUCGGAAAGACACUGAGCGGCUUAGUGGCGAACGGGUGAGUAACGCGUGAGUAACCUGCCUUAAACAAGGGGAUAGCCUUUGGAAACGAAGAAUAAUACCCUAUAACACCAUAAAAGCACAUGCUAGGGUGGUCAAAGUGAUAGUGGUGGAAGAGGGACUUGCGUAUUAUUAGCUUAUUGGUGAGAUAAAAGCUCACCAAGGCAACGAUCAGUAGCCGGCGCGAGAGAGUGUACGGCCACAUUGGGACAGGGACACGGCCCAGACUCCUACGGGUGGCAGCAGGGGUGAAGUUGGCACAAUGGGGGAAACCCGGAGGCAUCGGGGCCGCGAGAUUUAGAAGGCCUGCGGGUUGUAAAAAUCUUUUGUAUAGGAAGAAAAUGACAGUACUAUACGAAUAAGGUCCGGCUAAUUACGUG
RNAcentral lists this ribosomal RNA (477 nucleotides) under uncultured bacterium. RNAcentral's name for it is "partial 16S ribosomal RNA". It matches the Rfam family "Bacterial small subunit ribosomal RNA", at positions 28 to 507 of the family's 1533-position model. The record is from RNAcentral.